RNAcentral lists this ribosomal RNA (301 nucleotides) under uncultured bacterium. RNAcentral's name for it is "partial 16S ribosomal RNA". It matches the Rfam family "Bacterial small subunit ribosomal RNA", at positions 509 to 807 of the family's 1533-position model. The record is from RNAcentral.
CAGUCGCCGCGGUAAUACGUAGGUGGCAAGCGUUGUCCGGAAUUAUUGGGCGUAAAGCGCGCGCAGGUGGUUUAAUAAGUCUGAUGUGAAAGCCCACGGCUCAACCGUGGAGGGUCAUUGGAAACUGUUAAACUUGAGUGCAGGAGAGAAAAGUGGAAUUCCUAGUGUAGCGGUGAAAUGCGUAGAGAUUAGGAGGAACACCAGUGGCGAAGGCGGCUUUUUGGCCUGUAACUGACACUGAGGCGCGAAAGCCAGGGGAGCGAACGGGAUUAGAUACCCCCGUAGUCCCUGUCUCUUAUAC